This 253-nucleotide ribosomal RNA is filed under the name uncultured bacterium. RNAcentral's name for it is "partial 16S ribosomal RNA". It matches the Rfam family "Bacterial small subunit ribosomal RNA", at positions 524 to 776 of the family's 1533-position model. The record is from RNAcentral.
UACGAAGUGUGCAAACGUUGCUCGGAAUUAUUUGGCGUAAAGCGCACGUAGGCGGCUUGGCAAGUCGGAUGUGAAAUCCCUCGGCUCAACCAAGGAAGUGCAUCCGAAACUGCCGAGCUUGAGUACUUAAGAGGAUCGCGGAAUUCCCGGUGUAGAGGUGAAAUUCGUAGAUAUCGGGAGGAACACCAGUGGCGAAGGCGGCGAUCUGGGAAGAUACUGACGCUGAGGUGCGAAAGCGUGGGGAGCAAACAGG